UUUUUCUUUUAUACACAGAGUUUAGGCUCAGUCUAAUCCUAGGAAGGAGAAAUUACUAUUACUAGGAUUUUUUUUGGGUUUUGGUGUCAUUCGAUCUAUCUCAAGAAUAUGCAGUGUGAUUAAGUCUCUGAAGCAAUCAGAGGGUUCAACACAAGCUUACACUACUGGCACACGUGAGGAACACAUGUGUGGGUAUUAGUAAUAAGUCACCAACAAAAGGGGUAAAAGAGUCUUUUAUCCUUGGCUCUGUAUCUUCUUCUCUUAAUCACUCUUCUUCUUCGAGUCUGUAACAGAAAGUGAGGAAGCGUCACAGAGACGACGCAAGUCGACGAGAGACGUGAGCUAGAGUUAGAGAGAGAGAGAGUAAUCGUUUUGGGUUAAUGAGAGAGAAAGCUUGAGAGUGAUUGUAAUCCGGUGAGCGAUUGUAACAGUUACUUGUAUGAGCUCGAGUUUGAGCUAAGUUCUAGUGGAUUCCGGAGUCAAUCUCCGGCGAGAUGUAGGGUUCCACACCGGAGCCAGAACUCCUAAAAUCUCGGUGUUCUUUGUUUGCGUUCUUUCUCUUCUUUCAAAUCCGUCAAGUAAUUCGCGAGUUCUAAUCGGCAAAUAUAGGUUAGGUUUCACAUCCCUUUAUGUAAAUACUAUUUUUGCUCCAAUAAGCAUAUUUCUCUUUAUAUUUUCUAUUGUUCGAAUAAGCAAAUUUAUGUGAACAAUUUUCUUGCUUACU
Long non-coding RNA from Arabidopsis lyrata subsp. lyrata, 724 nucleotides. RefSeq lists it as uncharacterized. The transcript is spliced from 2 exons. The record is from RefSeq and is a predicted model, not a curated record. Lineage: Eukaryota; Viridiplantae; Streptophyta; Magnoliopsida; Brassicales; Brassicaceae.